RNAcentral lists this ribosomal RNA (479 nucleotides) under uncultured bacterium. Its description in RNAcentral is "partial 16S ribosomal RNA". It matches the Rfam family "Bacterial small subunit ribosomal RNA", at positions 28 to 507 of the family's 1533-position model. The record is from RNAcentral.
GACGAACGCUGGCGGCGCGCUUAACACAUGCAAGUCGAGCGAUGAAAUUUCGACAGAUCCCUUCGGGGUGAAGAUGAAAUGGAUUAGCGGCGGACGGGUGAGUAACACGUGAGUAACCUGCCUUUGACAUUGGGAUAGCCUCGGGAAACUGGGAUUAAUACCAAAUGACACUAACUGAUCACAUGAUCCAUUAGUCAAAGAAAUUCGGUCAAAGAUGGACUCGCGGCUGAUUAGCUAGUUGGUGAGGUAACGGCCCACCAAGGCGACGAUCAGUAGCCGGCCUGGGAGGGUGAUCGGCCACAUUGGAACUGAGACACGGUCCAAACUCCUACGGGAGGCAGCAGUGGGGAAUAUUGCACAAUGGGGGAAACCCUGAUGCAGCGACGCCGCGUGAGCGAAGAAGGCCUUCGGGUCGUAAAGCUCUUUUAUGAGGGAAGAUAAUGACGGUACCUCAAGAAAAAGCCCCGGCUAACUACGUG